CCUGGUUGAUUCUGCCAGUAGUCAUAUGCUUGUCUCAAAGAUUAAGCCAUGCAUGUCUAAGUAUAAGCAAUUAUACCGUGAAACUGCGAAUGGCUCAUUAAAUCAGUUAUCGUUUAUUUGAUAGUACCUUACUACUUGGAUAACCGUGGUAAUUCUAGAGCUAAUACAUGCUGAAAACCCCGACUUCGGGAGGGGUGUAUUUAUUAGAUAAAAAACCAAUGCCCUUCGGGGCUCUUUGGUGAUUCAUGAUAACUUUUCAGAUCGCAUGGCCUUGCGCCGGCGACGGUUCAUUCAAAUUUCUGCCCUAUCAACUUUCGAUGGUAAGGUAUUGGCUUACCAUGGUUUCAACGGGUAACGGGGAAUUAGGGUUCGAUUCCGGAGAGGGAGCCUGAGAAACGGCUACCACAUCCAAGGAAGGCAGCAGGCGCGCAAAUUACCCAAUCCCGACACGGGGAGGUAGUGACAAUAAAUACUGAUACAGGGCUCUUUUGGGUCUUGUAAUUGGAAUGAGUACAAUUUAAACCUCUUAACGAGGAACAAUUGGAGGGCAAGUCUGGUGCCAGCAGCCGCGGUAAUUCCAGCUCCAAUAGCGUAUAUUAAAGUUGUUGCAGUUAAAAAGCUCGUAGUUGAACCUUGGGCCUGGCUGGCAGGUCCGCCUCACCGCGUGUACUUGUCCGGCCGGGCCUUUCCUUCUGGAGAACCUCAUGCCCUUCACUGGGUGUGCUGGGGAACCAGGACUUUUACUUUGAAAAAAUUAGAGUGUUCAAAGCAGGCCUUUGCUCGAAUACGUUAGCAUGGAAUAAUAGAAUAGGACGUGCGGUCCUAUUUUGUUGGUUUCUAGGACCGCCGUAAUGAUUAAUAGGGACAGUCGGGGGCAUCAGUAUUCAAUUGUCAGAGGUGAAAUUCUUGGAUUUAUUGAAGACUAACUACUGCGAAAGCAUUUGCCAAGGAUGUUUUCAUUAAUCAGUGAACGAAAGUUAGGGGAUCGAAGACGAUCAGAUACCGUCGUAGUCUUAACCGUAAACUAUGCCGACUAGGGAUCGGGCGAUGUUUCUAUCUUGACUCGCUCGGCACCUUACGAGAAAUCAAAGUUUUUGGGUUCUGGGGGGAGUAUGGUCGCAAGGCUGAAACU
RNAcentral lists this ribosomal RNA (1132 nucleotides) under Corynespora cassiicola. RNAcentral describes it as "SSU rRNA". It matches the Rfam family "Eukaryotic small subunit ribosomal RNA", at positions 3 to 1144 of the family's 1831-position model. Lineage: Eukaryota; Fungi; Ascomycota; Dothideomycetes; Pleosporales; Corynesporascaceae. The record is from RNAcentral.